GAAAUGUGGUCCAGCGGGUGGAGACGGGUAGGUUUAGCGGUGGAGAUGGAAUCCAGGGGCUGGAGAUGGGUAGGUUUAGGGGUGGAGAUGUGGUCCAGGGGGUUGAGACGGGUAGGUUUAGGGGUGGAAAUGUGGUCCAGGGGGUGGAGACAGGUAGGUUUAGGGGUGGAGAUGUGGUCCAGGGGGUGGAGACGGGUAGGUUUAGGGGUGGAAAUGUGGUCCAGGGGGUGGAGACGGGUAGGUUUAGGGGAGGACAUGUGGUCCAGCGGGUGGAGGUGGGUAGGUUUAGGGGUGGAAAGGUGGUCCAGGGGGUGGACACGGGUAG
Molecule: long non-coding RNA, 325 nt
Organism: Cyprinus carpio carpio
Lineage: Eukaryota; Metazoa; Chordata; Actinopteri; Cypriniformes; Cyprinidae
Source: Ensembl